GGCCUAUGUGGCUGACGAUUCGUUAAGGGGCUGCGGGUUGACGAAAGGGAAAAGCGCAGCGUCGCCUUGGUUUUCCUCUGGCUCUCUUUCCAGAAUAUCUGAUGUUAUUUUCCCUCAGAGCUGCCCUUGCCGGUUGCCGUCGUAUCUUUUCUUCAUCAGGACUCAUGAAAGACAUUUUGAUAAUCGAACCCUUCUUUGGGGGGUCUCACGGGCAACUUGUGAAACUACUUCUGUCUGAUCAUGAAAUUGCACACCGUGCUGAAAUUCUGACUUUGCCAGCGAAGAAGUGGCAUUGGCGAGCCCGGACGUCAGCUUUGUAUUUCAGCCAAACAAUUCCUUCUGGAAAAAACUACAGGUACUUAUUUUCAAGUUCUGUACUCAACCUGGCUGAACUGAUUGCACUUCGGCCAGAUUUGGCAGCUUUAAAAAAAAUAAUCUACUUUCAUGAGAACCAGCUUAUAUAUCCAGUGCGCAAGAGACAGGAUAGAGACUUUCAGUACGGAUACAACCAGAUACUGUCAAGCAUGGUUGCAGACUCUGUGAUAUUCAAUUCUGAAUUCAACAUGGAGUCAUUUUUGUCUUCAAUUUCGUCUCAUUUGAAGCUUAUUCCUGAUCAUCGACCCAAAGGCAUUGAUGUCAUGGUGAGACCUAAAUGCAGAGUGCUGUAUUUUCCAAUAUCAUUACCAGUAUGUGCCAAAGAGCUUCAAACAAUCAGUGUGAAAAAAGAAAGGACUGACUGUGAUUUACCCAUAGACUUAAAUUGUGUUGCAGAUGUGAAAGAAGUGAAUUGUGAAAUGAAUUGUACAUACUCAGGUCAGCUGUGUUCAGGCUCCAGUAAUUGUGGAGAGGAGCGAAAAAACAUUGAUUUUACUUCUGAAAAGCUCUCAGUAGCUGAAAUAGGAGGUAGCCUGGAAUCAAGUUUUGAAGACAGUGUUGAUAAAAAUACUCUCACAUUGGAAAAGCAGGAAAAUGAUGAGCAUAAAGAACACGGAUUAACCAGAAGCAAGAAGCCAUGUCAUCAUUCUCUUGUUCAUAUUGUGUGGCCUCACAGAUGGGAGCAUGACAAGGAUCCGGAAGCAUUCUUCAAUGCUCUGUUUUCCCUAACAGAAGAAGGUUUGGAUUUUAGGGUGUCUGUGGUAGGGGAGGCCUUUUCCGAAGUACCUGAUAUAUUCCUGAGAGCAAAAUCUCACUUGCAAGAUAAAAUACUGAAUUGGGGAUAUCAGACAAGAGAGGAUUACCUGUGCAUCAUAGAUGAAGCUGAUGUAGUAGUUUCUACUGCACAACAUGAAUUCUUUGGAGUUUCCAUGUUGGAAGCUGUGAGCAGAGGAUGUUUUCCCUUGUGCCCUAAACGACUGGUGUAUCCUGAAAUAUAUCCUGACGAAUGCCUGUACUCCACUCAAGCUCAGCUGGUGAAGCGUCUCAAAAGAUUUUGUUCUUUCCCAAAGAGUGUAAGAACUGACAAGUUCAAACCAUCCAAGCAGCUGCUGGCGGGCAAAGGGUAGUUCUCCCGAAUUCUCUGAUCAAGCUCAGCCUACAACUGGUCAAUAGGAUUGAGGUCUGGAGUGUUGGCUGGCCAGACCAUGCGGGUAAUCCGCACCUGCUGCACGAAAGUGUUGACGCCCUGGACCUGUGCGACGUGGCGUUGUCGUCCUGAAGGACAGCAGCAAGCCCAAUCUGCUGCAGUGCCGGGACAACCAGAGGUCGAAGGAUCUCCUGCAGAUACCGCUGCCCUGUCAGGAUGCCUUGACUACCUUGCCCUGAAUGGUGGACACGUGCGCUUCUGACAAUUCCAUUGACAUUCACGAACUUAAACUAGUCGUUUUCUUUGAUAUUGGGUCUGGCUGCUCGGUUUUCGUGGACAUGCUUGCAAGCGGAUUAUAAAAACUUGUUUCCAGUUUUUGAAAAUUCACCUCCAAGCUG
Molecule: unclassified non-coding RNA, 1920 nt
Filed under: Aplysia californica (California sea hare)
Lineage: Eukaryota; Metazoa; Mollusca; Gastropoda; Aplysiida; Aplysiidae
Description: glycosyltransferase-like domain-containing protein 1, transcript variant X4
Source: RNAcentral